RNAcentral lists this long non-coding RNA (949 nucleotides) under Pandoravirus celtis. Its description in RNAcentral is "hypothetical ncRNA". The record is from RNAcentral.
UGCCAUUAAAGCAACGCCGCGGCGCGAAAAAGGAUCACCCUGUGCGACGGCCAUCCUCAUGACCGUAUCGCGAAAACCCACGAGAUUGACAAAACUGUCGACGGUCAUGGAUGCGCGGGCGCUGUCCUCGGGUGGCGACUCCUUGGCGAUAUGGUCACAGGCAGGCACUGAUGGAGCCGAUCGAGUCGACGGCGGCGCCCUGGGGAUCGCAGGCGGUGAUCCCUUGCCGGUGGCGUGCACAUGUCCGUGGCCCAAGACCAAGAGCGGCACGGCGCCCUGGUCGCGCAAGUGGUGUUGGACGGUCACAUUGAGGACGCCGACGGCGGAGUCGACCGCUUCGUCCUCGCGUAUGACCCCCGAAUCCAACGCAUCGAGCACGACCGCAGCCGCGUCUUGACACACGGGCGUCAGCCAGGUCCACACGUCGAGCCGCUCCGGCCACCAGGUGUGCUCGCGUGGCGGGCAAAACAAGGCGCCGCGUCCGUCGGCGUGUUUGGUGGGACGCUGGAUCUUGGUGGCCUCGACAGAGUGCGCGCAUUCAUGUACGUCAUAGAGAACGGCCAGGGAGAUCGUUGCUUUGCCCUUGUCGUCGGCGAGGCGCCUUGUCAAUGUGCCGCCCGCCGAGGCCAUUUCGAUGCGGCCGGCCCCCCUGGUCAACGAUGCGGGGACGCUCCACGGCAGUGGGGUCAUCAUGCGCACUGUUGCCCCCCCUCAUCUUUUUUUCUUUUCGAUUGUGUUUUUUCUCUGUUUGCCCUCUCUUUUUCAACACGACUUUUUUUGUCGUCGGUCUCGUGCGUGCAGGGCGUGAGCGUUGGUCGAAAAAGAGCAGCCCUGGUGGGGCCGAGGCAUAGAGUGCGGCAUCGACGGCUCAUUCGUCUGCCCUUCCGUGGCACGCAAACAAUUGGUGCAUGUCAAAUGGUCGGUGUAAAUUGGGCAGAUAUUAAAAAAG